GUUAAAGUGGCAGAGACCGGUAAUUGUAUAAAACUUAAACCUUUAUUCUCAGAGGUUCAAAUCCUCUCUUUAACA
Molecule: transfer RNA, 75 nt
Filed under: Ectophylla alba
Lineage: Eukaryota; Metazoa; Chordata; Mammalia; Chiroptera; Phyllostomidae
Description: tRNA-Leu
Rfam family: tRNA
About the family: Transfer RNA (tRNA) molecules are approximately 80 nucleotides in length. Their secondary structure includes four short double-helical elements and three loops (D, anti-codon, and T loops). Further hydrogen bonds mediate the characteristic L-shaped molecular structure. tRNAs have two regions of fundamental functional importance: the anti-codon, which is responsible for specific mRNA codon recognition, and the 3' end, to which the tRNAs corresponding amino acid is attached (by aminoacyl-tRNA synthetases). tRNAs cope with the degeneracy of the genetic code in two manners: having more than one tRNA (with a specific anti-codon) for a particular amino acid; and 'wobble' base-pairing, i.e. permitting non-standard base-pairing at the 3rd anti-codon position.
Source: RNAcentral